This 837-nucleotide ribosomal RNA is filed under the name uncultured bacterium. RNAcentral describes it as "bacterial SSU rRNA". It matches the Rfam family "Bacterial small subunit ribosomal RNA", at positions 28 to 896 of the family's 1533-position model. The record is from RNAcentral.
AAUCAACGCUGGCGGCGUGCCUAACACAUGCAAGUCGAACGAGAAAGUGGAGCAAUCCAUGAGGUAAGUGGCGCACGGGUGAGUAACACGUGACUAACCUAUCCUUGAGUGGGGGAUAACUGAGGGAAACCUUGGCUAAUACCGCAUAACACCUACGGGUCAAAGGAGCAAUUCGCUUAAGGAGGGGGUCGCGGCAGAUUAGCUAGUUGGCGGGGUAAUGGCCCACCAAGGCGGUGAUCUGUAUCCGGCCUGAGAGGGCGCACGGACACACUGGAACUGAAACACGGUCCAGACUCCUACGGGAGGCAGCAGUGGGGAAUUUUGCGCAAUGGGGGAAACCCUGACGCAGCAACGCCGCGUGGAGGAUGAAGUCCCUUGGGACGUAAACUCCUUUCGAUCGGGACGAUUAUGACGGUACCGGAAGAAGAAGCCCCGGCUAACUUCGUGCCAGCAGCCGCGGUAAUACGAGGGGGGCGAGCGUUGUUCGGAAUUAUUGGGCGUAAAGGGUGCGUAGGCGGUUUGGUAAGUCUUGUGUGAAAUCUUCGGGCUCAACUCGAAGUCUGCACGAGAAACUGCCGGGCUUGAGUAUGGGAGAGGUGAGUGGAAUUCCCGGUGUAGCGGUGAAAUGCGUAGAUAUCGGGAGGAACACCUGUGGCGAAAGCGGCUCACUGGACCAUAACUGACGCUGAGGCACGAAAGCUAGGGGAGCAAACAGGAUUAGAUACCCUGGUAGUCCUAGCCCUAAACGAUGAUCGCUUGGUGUGACGGGUACCCAAUCCCGCCGUGCCGAAGCUAACGCGUUAAGCGAUCCGCCUGGGGAGUACGGUCGCAAGGCUG